This 460-nucleotide ribosomal RNA is filed under the name uncultured bacterium. RNAcentral's name for it is "partial 16S ribosomal RNA". It matches the Rfam family "Bacterial small subunit ribosomal RNA", at positions 338 to 795 of the family's 1533-position model. The record is from RNAcentral.
CCUACGGGAGGCAGCAGUGAGGAAUAUUGGUCAAUGGGCUCGAGCCUGAACCAGCCACGUAGCGUGAAGGAUGACUGCCCUACGGGUUGUAAACUUCUUUUAUAAGGGAAUAAAGUGAGGCUCGUGUGCCUUUUUGUGUGUGCUUUAUGAGUACGGAUCCGCUAAAUCCGUGCCAGCAGCCGCGGUAAUACGGAGGAUCCGCGCGUUAUCCGGAUUUAUUUGGUUUAAAGGGAGCGUAGAUGGGUUGUUAAGUCAGUUGGGAAAGUUUGCGGCUCAACCGUAAAAUGGCACUUGAGACUGGCAGUCUUGAGUACAGAUGAGGUAGGCGGAAUUCGUGGUGUAGCGGUGAAAUGCUUAGAUAUCACGAAGAACUCCGAUUGCGAAGGCAGCUGACUAAACUGCCACUGACAUUGAGGCUCGAAAGUGUGGGUAUCAAACAGGAUUAGAUACCCGAGUAGUC